RNAcentral lists this ribosomal RNA (460 nucleotides) under uncultured bacterium. RNAcentral's name for it is "partial 16S ribosomal RNA". It matches the Rfam family "Bacterial small subunit ribosomal RNA", at positions 338 to 795 of the family's 1533-position model. The record is from RNAcentral.
CCUACGGGAGGCAGCAGUGAGGAAUAUUGGUCAAUGGACGAGAGUCUGAACCAGCCAAGUAGCGUGAAGGAUGACUGCCCUAUGGGUUGUAAACUUCAUUUAUAAAGGAAUAAAACGUGACACGAGUGCCUUUUUGCAUGUACUUUAUGAAUAAGGAUCGGCUAACUCCGUGCCAGCAGCCGCGGUAAUACGGCGGAUCCGAGCGUUAUCCGGAUUGAUUGGGUUUAACGGGAGCGUAGAUGGGUUGUUAAGUCAGUUGUGAAAGUUUGCGGCUCAACCGUAAAAUUGCAAUUGAUACUGGCAGUCUUGAGUACAGUUGAGGUAAGCGGAAUUCGUGGUGUAGCGGUGAAGUGCUUAGAUAUCACGAAGAACCCCGAUUGCGAAGGCAGCUUACUAAACUGUGACUGACAUUGAUGCUCGAAAGUGUGGGUAUCAAACAGGAUUAGAUACCCGGGUAGUC